GAUGAACGCUGGCGGCGUGCCUAAUACAUGCAAGUCGAGCGAACGGACGAGAAGCUUGCUUCUCUGAUGUUAGCGGCGGACGGGUGAGUAACACGUGGAUAACCUACCUAUAAGACUGGGAUAACUUCGGGAAACCGGAGCUAAUACCGGAUAAUAUUUUGAACCGCAUGGUUCAAAAGUGAAAGACGGUCUUGCUGUCACUUAUAGAUGGAUCCGCGCUGCAUUAGCUAGUUGGUAAGGUAACGGCUUACCAAGGCAACGAUGCAUAGCCGACCUGAGAGGGUGAUCGGCCACACUGGAACUGAGACACGGUCCAGACUCCUACGGGAGGCAGCAGUAGGGAAUCUUCCGCAAUGGGCGAAAGCCUGACGGAGCAACGCCGCGUGAGUGAUGAAGGUCUUCGGAUCGUAAAACUCUGUUAUUAGGGAAGAACAUAUGUGUAAGUAACUGUGCACAUCUUGACGGUACCUAAUCAGAAAGCCACGGCUAACUACGUGCCAGCAGCCGCGGUAAUACGUAGGUGGCAAGCGUUAUCCGGAAUUAUUGGGCGUAAAGCGCGCGUAGGCGGUUUUUUAAGUCUGAUGUGAAAGCCCACGGCUCAACCGUGGAGGGUCAUUGGAAACUGGAAAACUUGAGUGCAGAAGAGGAAAGUGGAAUUCCAUGUGUAGCGGUGAAAUGCGCAGAGAUAUGGAGGAACACCAGUGGCGAAGGCGACUUUCUGGUCUGUAACUGACGCUGAUGUGCGAAAGCGUGGGGAUCAAACAGGAUUAGAUACCCUGGUAGUCCACGCCGUAAACGAUGAGUGCUAAGUGUUAGGGGGUUUCCGCCCCUUAGUGCUGCAGCUAACGCAUUAAGCACUCCGCCUGGGGAGUACGACCGCAAGGUUGAAACUCAAAGGAAUUGACGGGGACCCGCACAAGCGGUGGAGCAUGUGGUUUAAUUCGAAGCAACGCGAAGAACCUUACCAAAUCUUGACAUCCUUUGACAACUCUAGAGAUAGAGCUUUCCCCUUCGGGGGACAAAGUGACAGGUGGUGCAUGGUUGUCGUCAGCUCGUGUCGUGAGAUGUUGGGUUAAGUCCCGCAACGAGCGCAACCCUUAAGCUUAGUUGCCAUCAUUAAGUUGGGCACUCUAAGUUGACUGCCGGUGACAAACCGGAGGAAGGUUGGGAUGACGUCAAAUCAUCAUGCCCCUUAUGAUUUGGGCUACACACGUGCUACAAUGGACAAUACAAAGGGCAGCGAAACCGCGAGGUCAAGCAAAUCCCAUAAAGUUGUUCUCAGUUCGGAUUGUAGUCUGCAACUCGACUACAUGAAGCUGGAAUCGCUAGUAAUCGUAGAUCAGCAUGCUACGGUGAAUACGUUCCCGGGUCU
RNAcentral lists this ribosomal RNA (1372 nucleotides) under uncultured bacterium. RNAcentral describes it as "bacterial SSU rRNA". It matches the Rfam family "Bacterial small subunit ribosomal RNA", at positions 28 to 1381 of the family's 1533-position model. The record is from RNAcentral.